RNAcentral lists this ribosomal RNA (710 nucleotides) under Clostridium botulinum C. RNAcentral describes it as "partial 23S ribosomal RNA". It matches the Rfam family "Bacterial large subunit ribosomal RNA", at positions 311 to 1018 of the family's 2925-position model. Lineage: Bacteria; Bacillati; Bacillota; Clostridia; Eubacteriales; Clostridiaceae. The record is from RNAcentral.
CAUAACGCUUUGAUUUCUUUAGUUGAAGAGAACUGGAAAGUUCCGUCGUAGAAGGUAAUAACCCUGUAGGCGAAAAGGAAAGAAAAGUAGAUCUACUCCAGAGUACCACGAGACACGUGAAACCUUGUGGGAAGCUGGGAGGACCAUCUCCCAAGGCUAAAUACUCCCUAGUGACCGAUAGUGAAGCAGUACCGUGAGGGAAAGGUGAAAAGAACCCCGGAAGGGGAGUGAAAUAGAAUCUGAAACCGUGUGCCUACAAUCGGUCGGAGCACAUUAAAGUGUGACGGCGUACUUUUUGUAGAACGGGCCAGCGAGUUACGAUAUAUAGCAAGGUUAAGCACUUAUGGUGUGGAGCCGAAGGGAAACCGAGUCUGAAUAGGGCAACUAGUUGUAUAUUGUAGACCCGAAACCGGGUGACCUAUCCAUGGCCAGGAUGAAGCGGAAGUAAAAUUCCGUGGAGGUCCGAACCACGUUGGUGUUGAAAAACCAUGGGAUGAGCUGUGGAUAGCGGAGAAAUUCCAAUCGAACUCGGAGAUAGCUGGUUCUCCUCGAAAUAGCUUUAGGGCUAGCGUCGGGUAAUUGAGUAGUGGAGGUAGAGCACUGAAUGGGCUAGGGGCUGACAACAGUUACUGAACCCUAUCAAACUCCGAAUGCCAUAUACUUGUACCCCGGCAGUCAGACUACGAAUGAUAAGAUCCGUGGUCAAAAGG